This 118-nucleotide ribosomal RNA is filed under the name Periophthalmus magnuspinnatus. The record is from RNAcentral. Lineage: Eukaryota; Metazoa; Chordata; Actinopteri; Gobiiformes; Gobiidae.
CACAUCUGCCAUACCGGCGAAUCAAAACCUGAUUUAGUCACAUCUCAGAGGCUAAGUAAAACUGGACCUGGUUAGUACUUGAAUGGGAGACCACUGGGAAUACCAACUGUUGUUAUGU